AGUGAACGCUGGCGGUAGGCCUAACACAUGCAAGUCGAACGGCAGCACAGUAAGAUCUUGCUCUUACGGGUGGCGAGUGGCGGACGGGUGAGGCAUACAUCGGAAUCUACUUUUUCGUGGGGGAUAACGUAGGGAAACUUACGCUAAUACCGCAUAUGUCCUACGGGUGAAAGCAGGGGAUCUUCGGACUUUUCGUGAUUGAAUGAGCCGAUGCCGGAUUAGCUAGUUGGCGGGGUAAAGGCUCACCAAGGCAACGAGCCGUAGCUGGUCUGAGAGGAUGAUCAGCCACACUGGAACUGAGACACGGUCCAGACUCCUACGGGAGGCAGCAGUGGGGAAUAUUGGACAAUGGGCGCAAGCCUGAUCCAGCCAUGCCGCGUGGGUGAAGAAGGCCUUCGGGUUGUAAAGCCCUUUUGUUGGGAAAGAAAAGCAGCAGGUUAAUACCCCGCUGUUCUGACGGUACCCAAAGAAUAAGCACCGGCUAACUUCGUG
RNAcentral lists this ribosomal RNA (492 nucleotides) under uncultured bacterium. RNAcentral describes it as "partial 16S ribosomal RNA". It matches the Rfam family "Bacterial small subunit ribosomal RNA", at positions 29 to 507 of the family's 1533-position model. The record is from RNAcentral.